AAAGCGUGCGCAGGCGGUUUUGUAAGUUUGUCGUGAAAUCCCCGGGCUCAACCUGGGAAUGGCGAUGAAGACUGCAAGGCUAGAAUCUGGCAGAGGGGGGUAGAAUUCCACGUGUAGCAGUGAAAUGCGUAGAGAUGUGGAGGAACACCGAUGGCGAAGGCAGCCCCCUGGGUCAAGAUUGACGCUCAUGCACGAAAGCGUGGGGAGCAAACAGGAUUAGAUACCCUAGU
This 230-nucleotide ribosomal RNA is filed under the name uncultured bacterium. Its description in RNAcentral is "partial 16S ribosomal RNA". It matches the Rfam family "Bacterial small subunit ribosomal RNA", at positions 562 to 791 of the family's 1533-position model. The record is from RNAcentral.